CCGCCUCCGGCCGGGUUUGCGGCCGCUUUUUGUUCCCGGCCGCGGGGCUUCGGAGCGGAACGGCCGCCGCGUGCCGUGGGGGUGG
Gallus gallus (chicken) is the source of this 85-nucleotide microRNA precursor. NCBI's taxonomy places the organism in Eukaryota, Metazoa, Chordata, Aves, Galliformes, Phasianidae. The record is from Ensembl.